UCGGGAAUACUGGACAAUGGGCGAAAGCCUGAUCCAGCCAUGCCGCGUGCAGGAUGACGGUCCUAUGGAUUGUAAACUGCUUUUUGUACAGGAAGAAACAGUUCUACGUGUAGAACCUUGACGGUACUGUAAGAAUAAGGAUCGGCUAACUCCGUGCCAGCAGCCGCGGUAAUACGGAGGAUCCAAGCGUUAUCCGGAAUCAUUGGGUUUAAAGGGUCCGUAGGCGGUUAGAUAAGUCAGUGGUGAAAGCCCAUCGCUCAACGGUGGAACGGCCAUUGAUACUGUCUGACUUGAAUUAUUAGGAAGUAACUAGAAUAUGUAGUGUAGCGGUGAAAUGCUUAGAGAUUACAUGGAAUACCAAUUGCGAAGGCAGGUUACUACUAAUGGAUUGACGCUGAUGGACGAAAGCGUGGGUAGCGAACAGGAUUAGAUACCCAUGUAGUCCCUGAGCGGGCUGGCAAGGCGCAU
RNAcentral lists this ribosomal RNA (468 nucleotides) under uncultured bacterium. Its description in RNAcentral is "bacterial SSU rRNA". It matches the Rfam family "Bacterial small subunit ribosomal RNA", at positions 355 to 825 of the family's 1533-position model. The record is from RNAcentral.